Molecule: ribosomal RNA, 497 nt
Filed under: uncultured bacterium
Lineage: Bacteria
Description: partial 16S ribosomal RNA
Rfam family: Bacterial small subunit ribosomal RNA
Source: RNAcentral
GAUGAACGCUGGCGGCGUGCCUAAUACAUGCAAGUCGAGCGAACGGACGAGAAGCUUGCUUCUCUGAUGUUAGCGGUGGACGGGUGAGUAACACGUGGAUAACCUACCUAUAAGACUGGGAUGACUUCGGGAAACCGGAGCUAAUACCGGAUAAUAUUUUGAACCGCAUGGUUCAAAAGUGAAAGACGGUCUUGCUGUCACUUAUAGAUGGAUCCGCGCUGCAUUAGCUAGUUGGUAAGGUAACGGCUUACCAAGGCAACGAUGCAUAGCCGACCUGAGAGGGUGAUCGGCCACACUGGAACUGAGACACGGUCCAGACUCCUACGGGAGGCAGCAGUAGGGAAUCUUCCGCAAUGGGCGAAAGCCUGACGGAGCAACGCCGCGUGAGUGAUGAAGGUCUUCGGAUCGUAAAACUCUGUUAUUAGGGAAGAACAUAUGUGUAAGUAACUGUGCACAUCUUGACGGUACCUAAUCAGAAAGCCACGGCUAACUACGUG